UCAGACCCUUGUCAGCUUAAAAGAUGAUGGGUCAUUGAUUCAGGAACAGGAGUGGGAUGGCAAGAAGACCAUAAUAACACGGAAACUAGUGGAUGGUCAAUUGGUGGUGGAAUGUGACAUGAAUGGUGUCAAGUGUGUUAGAGUCUACCAGAAAGCAUGAGGACAGGUCUUCAUAUUCAGUAAGAACUUGCUACAAACAACUCAGUUCAGUGAACAGAGCUCCUUUACACUCCAUUUUCUUCCUUUUCCCUGUUUUCUAGUAUUUCAAUGGACUGAGUAGCUGUGUGCAAUCCUUUUUAAAAGCCGUGAUGUAACUAUUAUGUAACUAUUCUGAUCUAUUGAGGCUAUUAAAUAAAAUUUUCAAAUAUA
This is a non-coding RNA of Tinamus guttatus (white-throated tinamou), 369 nucleotides long. The record is from RefSeq and is a predicted model, not a curated record. NCBI's taxonomy places the organism in Eukaryota, Metazoa, Chordata, Aves, Tinamiformes, Tinamidae.